This 322-nucleotide long non-coding RNA is filed under the name Salmo salar (Atlantic salmon). RNAcentral's name for it is "lncRNA (ENSSSAG00000084608.1)". Lineage: Eukaryota; Metazoa; Chordata; Actinopteri; Salmoniformes; Salmonidae. The record is from RNAcentral.
GGAAGGGAGAGUGAGAGAGAGACUUGUGCAUUGGAGAGAGGCGGUGGGGUUGCCUGUAGAGGUGACAAUCAUCACUCCCCAAUCAGUCAUCAAUCAGUCCCCAAUCAGAAGACACCUGUUCUUUUUCCCUCCAACAAUCACAUCCCCCUUCCCUUGGUUUAAAAACCCAGACAGUUGUUUUCUCCCCAGAUCAAUCUCUCUGUAGCUCAUUCUCACUCUCUGUGUUCAUUCUCUCUCAAGCUCUCACUAUAUCUCUCUCUUUGUGUAUUGAUCCCUUUUGUUUUUGCAACUACAUGUCACUUUGUCCAUCCCACCUGUGAGU